ACGUCAAGUCAUCAUGCCCCUUACAUCCUGGGCUACACACGUACUACAAUGCUACGGACAAAGGGCAGCAAGUUCGCGAGGACAAGCAAAUCCCAUAAACCGUGGCUCAGUUCAGAUCGUAGGCUGCAACUCGCCUACGUGAAGGAGGAAUCGCUAGUAAUCGCAGGUCAGCAUACUGCGGUGAAUACGUUCCCGGGCCUU
RNAcentral lists this ribosomal RNA (201 nucleotides) under unidentified marine eubacterium. RNAcentral describes it as "partial 16S ribosomal RNA". It matches the Rfam family "Bacterial small subunit ribosomal RNA", at positions 1182 to 1382 of the family's 1533-position model. The record is from RNAcentral.